Molecule: ribosomal RNA, 440 nt
Filed under: uncultured bacterium
Lineage: Bacteria
Description: partial 16S ribosomal RNA
Rfam family: Bacterial small subunit ribosomal RNA
Source: RNAcentral
CCUACGGGUGGCAGCAGUGGGGGAUAUUGCACAAUGGGGGAAACCCUGAUGCAGCGACGCCGCGUGAGUGAAGAAGUAUUUCGGUAUGUAAAGCUCUAUUAGUAGGGAAGAAAAUGACAGUACCUGGCUAACAAGUCUUUGCGAAUUACGACCUAGCAGCCGCGGUAAUACGUCGGGGGCAAGCGUUAUCCGGAUUUACUGGGUGUAAAGUGAGCGGAGAUGGUUAUGUAAGUCUGAAGUGAAAGCCCGCGGCGCAACCCCAGGACUGCUUUGGAAACUGUGGAACUGGAGUACAGGAGGGGCAGGCGGAAUUCCUGGUGUAGCGGUGGAAUGCGUAGAUAUCAGGAGGAACACCAGCGGCGAAGGCGGCCUGCUGGACUGAAACUGACGUUGAGGCUCGAAAGCAUGGGGAGCAAACAGGAUUAGAUACCCGUGUAGUC